This 259-nucleotide ribosomal RNA is filed under the name Pedobacter rhizosphaerae. Its description in RNAcentral is "23S rRNA. Bacterial LSU". It matches the Rfam family "Bacterial large subunit ribosomal RNA", at positions 2651 to 2925 of the family's 2925-position model. Lineage: Bacteria; Pseudomonadati; Bacteroidota; Sphingobacteriia; Sphingobacteriales; Sphingobacteriaceae. The record is from RNAcentral.
GCGUAGGAAUUUUGAGUGGGGCUGACCUUAGUACGAGAGGACCGGGUUGGACUAGCCUCUAGUGAAUCUGUUGUUCCGCCAGGGGCAUUGCAGAGUAGCUACGCUGGGAAUAGAUAAGCGCUGAAAGCAUCUAAGUGCGAAACUAGCCACGAGAUGAGAAUUCCAUAUAGGGCCGUAGCAGACUACUACGUUGAUAGGUUAUAGAUGUAAAGAUGGCGACAUCACAGUCGAGUAAUACUAAUCACCCGAAGCUUUCAAA